GAAUAUGAGGGCUCUCUAGCUGUAACAUGCAACCCCACUGACCACCAGGAUUGAUUUUACUCAUUUGGUUGGCUAGACGGCGUCCCCUUCCUCCCUCACUGAAAGACCUCUCCCUAAUAGACACAGAAUGUUCUUUGGUCGAGGGUAGACUAGUAGCUGUGCUUCUCUGCUAGAACUUCCACACAAGUUUCAAGAAAGAAAAUAAAGGAACCCAGGAAUGUGACUUAUUGGCAGAGUAAAUGCCACCAUUC
This 251-nucleotide small nuclear RNA is filed under the name Sorex araneus (European shrew). Its description in RNAcentral is "7SK RNA (ENSSARG00000019671.1)". It matches the Rfam family "7SK RNA". Rfam says of the family: 7SK was discovered as an abundant small nuclear RNA in the mid-70s but a possible function has only recently been suggested. Two independent studies have found that 7SK RNA binds the CDK9/cyclin T complex (known as elongation factor P-TEFb). The record is from RNAcentral. Lineage: Eukaryota; Metazoa; Chordata; Mammalia; Eulipotyphla; Soricidae.